RNAcentral lists this ribosomal RNA (253 nucleotides) under uncultured bacterium. RNAcentral describes it as "partial 16S ribosomal RNA". It matches the Rfam family "Bacterial small subunit ribosomal RNA", at positions 524 to 776 of the family's 1533-position model. The record is from RNAcentral.
UACGUAGGGUGCGAGCGUUGUCCGGAAUUAUUGGGCGUAAAGAGCUCGUAGGCGGUUUGUCGCGUCUGCUGUGAAAACCCGAGACUCAACCUCGGGCCUGCAGUGGGUACGGGCAGACUAGAGUGCGGUAGGGGAGAUUGGAAUUCCUGGUGUAGCGGUGGAAUGCGCAGAUAUCAGGAGGAACACCAAUGGCGAAGGCAGAUCUCUGGGCCGUAACUGACGCUGAGGAGCGAAAGCAUGGGGAGCGAACAGG